ACACAUGCAGUCGAGCGGUAGCACAGAGAGCUUGCUCUCGGGUGACGAGCGGCGGACGGGUGAGUAAUGUCUGGGAAACUGCCUGAUGGAGGGGGAUAACUACUGGAAACGGUAGCUAAUACCGCAUAACGUCGCAAGACCAAAGUGGGGGACCUUCGGGCCUCAUGCCAUCAGAUGUGCCCAGAUGGGAUUAGCUAGUAGGUGGGGUAAUGGCUCACCUAGGCGACGAUCCCUAGCUGGUCUGAGAGGAUGACCAGCCACACUGGAACUGAGACACGGUCCAGACUCCUACGGGAGGCAGCAGUGGGGAAUAUUGCACAAUGGGCGCAAGCCUGAUGCAGCCAUGCCGCGUGUAUGAAGAAGGCCUUCGGGUUGUAAAGUACUUUCAGCGAGGAGGAAGGCAUUAAGGUUAAUAACCUUGGUGAUUGACGUUACUCGCAGAAGAAGCACCGGCUAACUCCGUGCCAGCAGCCGCGGUAAUACGGAGGGUGCAAGCGUUAAUCGGAAUUACUGGGCGUAAAGCGCACGCAGGCGGUCUGUCAAGUCGGAUGUGAAAUCCCCGGGCUCAACCUGGGAACUGCAUUCGAAACUGGCAGGCUAGAGUCUUGUAGAGGGGGGUAGAAUUCCAGGUGUAGCGGUGAAAUGCGUAGAGAUCUGGAGGAAUACCGGUGGCGAAGGCGGCCCCCUGGACAAAGACUGACGCUCAGGUGCGAAAGCGUGGGGAGCAAACAGGAUUAGAUACCCUGGUAGUCCACGCCGUAAACGAUGUCGACUUGGAGGUUGUGCCCUUGAGGCGUGGCUUCCGGAGCUAACGCGUUAAGUCGACCGCCUGGGGAGUACGGCCGCAAGGUUAAAACUCAAAUGAAUUGACGGGGGCCCGCACAAGCGGUGGAGCAUGUGGUUUAAUUCGAUGCAACGCGAAGAACCUUACCUACUCUUGACAUCCAGAGAACUUAGCAGAGAUGCUUUGGUGCCUUCGGGAACUCUGAGACAGGUGCUGCAUGGCUGUCGUCAGCUCGUGUUGUGAAAUGUUGGGUUAAGUCCCGCAACGAGCGCAACCCUUAUCCUUUGUUGCCAGCGGUUCGGCCGGGAACUCAAAGGAGACUGCCAGUGAUAAACUGGAGGAAGGUGGGGAUGACGUCAAGUCAUCAUGGCCCUUACGAGUAGGGCUACACACGUGCUACAAUGGCAUAUACAAAGAGAAGCGACCUCGCGAGAGCAAGCGGACCUCAUAAAGUAUGUCGUAGUCCGGAUUGGAGUCUGCAACUCGACUCCAUGAAGUCGGAAUCGCUAGUAAUCGUAGAUCAGAAUGCUACGGUGAAUACGUUCCCGGGCCUUGUACACACCGCCCGUCACACCAUGGGAGUGGGUUGCAAAAGAAGUAGGUAGCUUAACCUUCGGGAGGGCGCUACCACU
RNAcentral lists this ribosomal RNA (1416 nucleotides) under Klebsiella aerogenes. RNAcentral's name for it is "bacterial SSU rRNA". It matches the Rfam family "Bacterial small subunit ribosomal RNA". The record is from RNAcentral. Lineage: Bacteria; Pseudomonadati; Pseudomonadota; Gammaproteobacteria; Enterobacterales; Enterobacteriaceae.